GAGGAGCAUCGCUGGGUAGCUAUGUGUGGAAGGGAUAAACGCUGAAAGCAUCUAAGCGUGAAGCCCCCCUCGAGAUGAGAUUUCCCAUCACUUUAUGUGAGUAAGACCCUGAGAGACGAUCAGGUUGAUAGGUUCGGAGUGGAAGUGCAGCGAUGUACGGAGCGGACGAAUACUAAUAGGUCGAGGACUUAACCUU
Brochothrix campestris FSL F6-1037 is the source of this 196-nucleotide ribosomal RNA. It matches the Rfam family "Bacterial large subunit ribosomal RNA", at positions 2730 to 2925 of the family's 2925-position model. Lineage: Bacteria; Bacillati; Bacillota; Bacilli; Caryophanales; Listeriaceae. The record is from Rfam.